UGCCGAUUUCUCUUCAAUUUUUCUCAGCUCCGGCCGGUACGACGUAGAUCUCCGUCGAUCUAGAACAUGCAGAUGCUUCAGGUCUCCUAGUCCCGUCGUCAUCUGUCGCCGUGGAGCUUCCGUCGGCGAAGUAGAGAUGUCGGUUGAAGAGAUCUGUGUUGAAGACAAGUUUUUUUCUGAUUUCGUUUCCUUCUGUAUACAUCUAGGUAUAGGGUUUGUGUAGAUUUCUUUCCCUUCUCUUGGUUUGUGAUUAGGGUUUCUGGAAAUUUGAUUUCACAAAUGUAGGGUUUGUGUUUUGUUCUUUGAUUUGGAGCUAAUUAGAUCGAUUUUGAUUUUUGAUUUUGGUUUUGACAAGUUGGUGUUUCAUCGAUCAUCAUCACCAAAAUCACAGGUGAGAGGAUCAACAAAUAUAGAAAAGAAAUUAUUCUCAGUGUAAUGAUAGACUUGUGAGAGAAGCUUGAAUGCACCUGACAUUCAUUGUGGAUGGCUUCUACCUGAAUUUGCUGGACUGGGGUGUCUUAGCCAUAGCGUUGGGCCACACUCUUUACUUAUGGGAUGCUUCCACUGGUGUGACCAUUGAUGAGGAAAAGGGACCUUUCAACUGGGCACCUGAUGGUCGUCAUGUCCACCUAUGGGAUUCUGCUUCCAACCGUAAUCAACUGAGAACAUUGAAGAGUAGGAUCACUGGGAUGUUCUUACUACUGGAGGAAUAAAUGGACUGAUCAUUAACAAUGAUGUGAGGAUUGUGGAGACUUACAGGCAGGGCCGGCCCAGACCUAAAGCCCAGCAAGCAGAUGCUUUAGGCAUCAAAUUUUAUAUGUAUUUUAAAGGGCAUCAAAAUUACAAAAGUGUCUUGUAGUCUAGUGGUAUUUAGGACACUUAAAUAUAGUUGGUCGAGGGUUCGAUCCCUGGCAACCAUAAAUUUUAACAUUUUUUUAUUUUUAGUUGUUGUAAAUUGGCAUCAAAUUUGGUUGGGCUUUAGGCAUCAUGAAUCUUUGGGCCGGCCCUGUUUACUGGGGUCACACUCAAGAGGUUUGUGGUCUCAAGUGGUCAGGAUCUGGUUACACAUAUGGGAUCCUUCUGUUGCUAGCUCAAACUCAACUACGCAAUGGCUGCACAUGCUUGAGGAAUAUACAUCUAAUGUGAAAGCUCUUGCGUGGUGGUGGUGGAGGAGAUACUAUUUUCUCCAUUCUUAUUUUUGUUUUUGUUUCCUUUUUUUUUUUUAAAGAUUAGUUUAAAUUUUAAAUUAGUUUUAAAAAAUUUGUUGCUUGCUGUUGGCAGUUUUGUUUGGAAGAUGAUCACACAAUAUGUUCUGUAAUGGGAGAAUUUGACUUAGAAAAA
Long non-coding RNA from Arabidopsis lyrata subsp. lyrata, 1341 nucleotides. RefSeq lists it as uncharacterized. The transcript is spliced from 2 exons. The record is from RefSeq and is a predicted model, not a curated record. NCBI's taxonomy places the organism in Eukaryota, Viridiplantae, Streptophyta, Magnoliopsida, Brassicales, Brassicaceae.